RNAcentral lists this ribosomal RNA (960 nucleotides) under Lactiplantibacillus plantarum. RNAcentral's name for it is "bacterial SSU rRNA". It matches the Rfam family "Bacterial small subunit ribosomal RNA", at positions 202 to 1158 of the family's 1533-position model. Lineage: Bacteria; Bacillati; Bacillota; Bacilli; Lactobacillales; Lactobacillaceae. The record is from RNAcentral.
GCUUCGGCUAUCACUUUUGGAUGGUCCCGCGGCGUAUUAGCUAGAUGGUGGGGUAACGGCUCACCAUGGCAAUGAUACGUAGCCGACCUGAGAGGGUAAUCGGCCACAUUGGGACUGAGACACGGCCCAAACUCCUACGGGAGGCAGCAGUAGGGAAUCUUCCACAAUGGACGAAAGUCUGAUGGAGCAACGCCGCGUGAGUGAAGAAGGGUUUCGGCUCGUAAAACUCUGUUGUUAAAGAAGAACAUAUCUGAGAGUAACUGUUCAGGUAUUGACGGUAUUUAACCAGAAAGCCACGGCUAACUACGUGCCAGCAGCCGCGGUAAUACGUAGGUGGCAAGCGUUGUCCGGAUUUAUUGGGCGUAAAGCGAGCGCAGGCGGUUUUUUAAGUCUGAUGUGAAAGCCUUCGGCUCAACCGAAGAAGUGCAUCGGAAACUGGGAAACUUGAGUGCAGAAGAGGACAGUGGAACUCCAUGUGUAGCGGUGAAAUGCGUAGAUAUAUGGAAGAACACCAGUGGCGAAGGCGGCUGUCUGGUCUGUAACUGACGCUGAGGCUCGAAAGUAUGGGUAGCAAACAGGAUUAGAUACCCUGGUAGUCCAUACCGUAAACGAUGAAUGCUAAGUGUUGGAGGGUUUCCGCCCUUCAGUGCUGCAGCUAACGCAUUAAGCAUUCCGCCUGGGGAGUACGGCCGCAAGGCUGAAACUCAAAGGAAUUGACGGGGGCCCGCACAAGCGGUGGAGCAUGUGGUUUAAUUCGAAGCUACGCGAAGAACCUUACCAGGUCUUGACAUACUAUGCAAAUCUAAGAGAUUAGACGUUCCCUUCGGGGACAUGGAUACAGGUGGUGCAUGGUUGUCGUCAGCUCGUGUCGUGAGAUGUUGGGUUAAGUCCCGCAACGAGCGCAACCCUUAUUAUCAGUUGCCAGCAUUAAGUUGGGCACUCUGGUGAGACUGCCGGUGA